Molecule: ribosomal RNA, 876 nt
Filed under: uncultured bacterium
Lineage: Bacteria
Description: bacterial SSU rRNA
Rfam family: Bacterial small subunit ribosomal RNA
Source: RNAcentral
CAAGUCGAGGGGCAUCGGGGCGAGGAGCAAUCCUUGCCGCCGGCGACCGGCGCACGGGUGAGUAACGCGUAUGCGACCUGCCCGUUGCAGGGGGAUAAUCGGGAGAAAUCCCGUCUAAUACCGCGUAAUGCCGCGGGGCUGCAUGGCCCUGCGGCCAAAGGGAGCGAUUCCGGCUACGGAUGGUCAUGCGUCGCAUUAGCUGGUUGGCGGGGUAACGGCCCACCAAGGCGACGAUGCGUAGGGGUUCUGAGAGGAAGGUCCCCCACACUGGUACUGAGACACGGACCAGACUCCUACGGGAGGCAGCAGUGAGGAAUAUUGGUCAAUGGCCGCAGGGCUGAACCAGCCAAGUCGCGUGAGGGAUGACGGUCCUAUGGAUUGUAAACCUCUUUUGUCAGGGAGCAAAGGGCGCCACGUGUGGCGCUUUGCGAGUACCUGAAGAAAAAGCAUCGGCUAACUCCGUGCCAGCAGCCGCGGUAAUACGGAGGAUGCGAGCGUUAUCCGGAUUUAUUGGGUUUAAAGGGUGCGCAGGCGGAAUGUCAAGUCAGCGGUAAAAUUUCGGGGCUCAACCCCGUCGUGCCGUUGAAACUGGCGUUCUUGAGUGAGCGAGAAGUAUGCGGAAUGCGUGGUGUAGCGGUGAAAUGCAUAGAUAUCACGCAGAACUCCGAUUGCGAAGGCAGCAUACCGGCGCUCAACUGACGCUCAUGCACGAAAGCGUGGGUAUCGAACAGGAUUAGAUACCCUGGUAGUCCACGCAGUAAACGAUGAAUACUAACUGUCCGGGCAGAAUGAUGCCUGGGUGGUACAGCGAAAGCGUUAAGUAUUCCACCUGGGGAGUACGCCGGCAACGGUGAAACUCAAAGGAAUUGACGGGGC